Mastomys coucha (southern multimammate mouse) is the source of this 131-nucleotide small nucleolar RNA. RefSeq annotates it as small nucleolar RNA SNORA17. The transcript has a single exon. The record is from RefSeq and is a predicted model, not a curated record. NCBI's taxonomy places the organism in Eukaryota, Metazoa, Chordata, Mammalia, Rodentia, Muridae.
CCUGCCCCAGCAGCAUUGCAGGUGUGGCUGUUGUGUCACAUGUACCUCAGUAGGUGGCAGGGAGGAGAGAGGCUAUGUUUAUGUUCAGUAUUGUGACCUGCGAACGUCUGAAUGCUUAGCAGCCUAACAUU